AUUGAACGCUGGCGGCAGGCCUAACACAUGCAAGUCGAACGGAGUGGCGAACGGGUGAGUAACACGUGGGUGACCUGCCCUGCACUUCGGGAUAAGCCUGGGAAACUGGGUCUAAUACCGGAUAGUGUGGGAUGGGCCCGCGGCCAAUCAGCUUGUUGGUGGGGUAAUGGCCUACCAAGGCGGCGACGGGUAGCCGGCCUGAGAGGGUGGACGGCCACAUUGUGACUGCGACACGGCCCAGACUCCUACGGGGGGCAGCAGUGGGGAAUAUUGCACGAUGGGCGGAAGGCGGAUGCAGCGGCGCCGGGUGGGGGAGGACGGCCUUCGGGUUGUAAACUCCUUUCACCAUCGACGCGGUAGAUGGAGAAGAAGCACCGGCUAACUACGUGCCAGCAGCCGCGGUAAUAC
Molecule: ribosomal RNA, 408 nt
Filed under: uncultured bacterium
Lineage: Bacteria
Description: partial 16S ribosomal RNA
Rfam family: Bacterial small subunit ribosomal RNA
Source: RNAcentral